CAAAAAGGUGAGUUUUUGUUACAUUAACUUCAGCAGUGUACAUAUGAGUGCAGAUGUUUUACUUUUCCUCUUAAUUCAUUUUCAGAUUCAUCAUGAGAGCUCUUGUGCUUCUUUUCUUGGUCUUUUCUGUUGAGAGUGCACCAGCUGAAGAGAAAUGCUCUUAUGGAUGGACACCUUUUGGUGUUCAAUGCUACAAAUUCUUCUCUAAGUCAGUUGACUGGAUCACAGCUGAGAAAAACUGUCAAUCUGUUGAUGCAAAUCUUGCAUCUGUGCGCAAUAAAGUGGAAUACAACUUUCUCCUAAGUCUUGCACCUUCUGGCACACGUGCUUGGAUUGGUGGCCAUGAUGGUGAAGUGG
Paramisgurnus dabryanus is the source of this 357-nucleotide long non-coding RNA. RefSeq lists it as uncharacterized. Lineage: Eukaryota; Metazoa; Chordata; Actinopteri; Cypriniformes; Cobitidae. The record is from RefSeq and is a predicted model, not a curated record.